Molecule: ribosomal RNA, 451 nt
Filed under: uncultured bacterium
Lineage: Bacteria
Description: partial 16S ribosomal RNA
Rfam family: Bacterial small subunit ribosomal RNA
Source: RNAcentral
GUGGGGAAUAUUGGACAAUGGGGGGAACCCUGAUCCAGCCAUGCCGCGUGUGUGAAGAAGGCCUUUUGGUUGUAAAGCACUUUAAGUGGGGAGGAGGCUUACCUGGUUAAUACCUGGGCUAAGUGGACGUUACCCACAGAAUAAGCACCGGCUAACUCUGUGCCAGCAGCCGCGGUAAUACAGAGGGUGCAAGCGUUAAUCGGAUUUACUGGGCGUAAAGCGCGCGUAGGUGGCCAAUUAAGUCAAAUGUGAAAUCCCCGAGCUUAACUUGGGAAUUGCAUUCGAUACUGGUUGGCUAGAGUAUGGGAGAGGAUGGUAGAAUUCCAGGUGUAGCGGUGAAAUGCGUAGAGAUCUGGAGGAAUACCGAUGGCGAAGGCAGCCAUCUGGCCUAAUACUGACACUGAGGUGCGAAAGCAUGGGGAGCAAACAGGAUUAGAAACCCUGGUAGUCC